This 325-nucleotide long non-coding RNA is filed under the name Sorghum bicolor (sorghum). RNAcentral's name for it is "long non-coding RNA (SBIC_LNC001689)". Lineage: Eukaryota; Viridiplantae; Streptophyta; Magnoliopsida; Poales; Poaceae. The record is from RNAcentral.
AGGUAACAAACAGAUCUCUGAACUUCUUUUCUUUCUUCUCAGCUUUGCGGAUUUUCUUCCGAUCUGACCGGGAGAGCUUAGUAUCCUGCACUUGAACUGUUUCUGCACUUCUACCAGAGAAGCAAGGCUCUUCUUUUGGCAAAGAGGUGAUGAGAUCCUGCUGCUUGAGAACAGUCAAGUCCUUGGGUUUUUGCAGAACAGGAGGCUGCGGGGCGUCUGGUAGGCAAACAGCAGAUCUCGUUUCUUUCUGUAACACCUUCGCUAACUGAGGAUCAACUUUCUGUGACACCAUGGAAGCUGGACGCUGAACUCCCUGUGACACCAU